This is a long non-coding RNA of Neofelis nebulosa (Clouded leopard), 3806 nucleotides long. RefSeq lists it as uncharacterized. The transcript has 2 exons. The record is from RefSeq and is a predicted model, not a curated record. NCBI's taxonomy places the organism in Eukaryota, Metazoa, Chordata, Mammalia, Carnivora, Felidae.
UGCUUCUGUUUCUUAAGUAAAAUGGGAAGGAAAGGGAUUCCUAUCUUAACAGUUAGUGGGAUAAUUAAAUGAGGUAAUCCAUGCAAAGCAUUUAAAACAUGCUGGUACAUAGCUUUCAAUAAAUUAGUUUUUUCCUACAUUUAAGGUAAUUUUCUGUACAUAAUUAGGUAAAUGACCUAGGGUGGGGGUAGAGUUAAGUAGAAAGGCCCCUUCAUGAGGCCCCGGAGUGUAUGGAGUUAGCAAGUCAAUGUGGAAAGAGCAGCCAGUGUGUGCUCUGAAAUGAGCUCUGCCGCUCAUGCUGUGGUCUCAGGCAUCCUUUUCCUGCCUCCUGCCCCUUACUUUGUUUAUCUGUAAAAUCGGACUGCUAAAUGCGUAGCGUUGGAAUUAAAAGAUCAAGGGAGGUGAGUGUGCCUUAGCCUGGGCCCUAGGACAGUGGAGGCGUCCCAUCCAUCCACUGCUCCCAUUUCCUCCCAUGCGUCUGAGCACACUUGUGCUUGGGAAGGCAGGGUGGUGGCAAGAAUUCUCCAUGAACAUAAUACUCACCUUCUCUAGGUUGCCAAGACUUCGGCAUGGUCUCUCCUCAUGCUUGCCCCCGUGGGUAGUUUCUGGCCUUUCACUAGUACAGAUUGAUUAAACAUUCUCCUGUGUGGAUUCUUCCUGGUUGGUGCUGGUUAUCUCCUUAGGAGAAAUUCUUACAAAAGGCAUGUCUCCUGGGUCAAGGAUGUGCAAAAAUUUAAAGCUUUUGUUGGUAUAUGCUGUGUCAAAAAGCAGCUUAUUAUAAUUGUUCAAAGCAUGGAUUCUGGACCUAGGCUGCGUGCAAACCUUUGCUGCUUGUUAGCCAGGGAGACAGAUGAGGAUUAAUUAUUAACUUGGUUAAUAUUUGUUCAUUAGAACAAGUGCUUGACACAUACAAAGAGUCAUACAUAUGUUGUGUUUAAUAAUAAAAAAAAAAUACUGUCUUAAUGCUCUGAAAUGGUCUGUGACAGUGGACAGUCCCCUUAGCAUCAGCUGUCGGGGCAUGGCUGAGAUGGCUAAUUAAUAGUAGGACACUGGCCUUAGUGCUAUUAGGUCAUGGGUCACCAUUACCCGCUGCCAUAUCUGGUCCUAACUCUUAGCUGCCCCAUUAUUUAGAUUUGGGGUCUUUUGUCUUCUAAGUAGUUGGCAUAAUAUGUACCUAUCACAGUCUGGUUUUCUCAGUUUUUUGGGAGAACAAAAUGGACUCUGGGCAAAACCCAUCCAAGUGCAUCUCCAGACAUUCUGGCUUCUUCACUGGGGGUGCUGGCCCAGCCCGUGUAGGAACGGAGAUCCUCCCACACUGCCUGGCCUUGCCUCUAACUGUGUCUCGUCUCUUUGCUAGCAAGUCUGCAUGGCUUUGACAUGUUUCUGGAUGACAGGUGCUCCAUCCACACUGAAAUUCCCAGUGAUAGUUGGCCGUCUCGAGCUGUAACCUUUCUAGACCGGCUUUUAAUCUGGCUUGGGAUCCGCAAAGACUAGGCCUCCCAAGAAGAUCUCUCCUGGACAGCACAAUGCUCACCAACAGAAAGUCUCUCCAGGUGCAAUUUAAGCCUGUUUCCUCAAGCGUGUGCCUCAGCCUCAGCAAGUGUGUCUUCUAUCCACUGGGUAUUGAGGGUUCAGCCUGAGGCUAGAGCUGGGCCUACCAGUAGGUGGCCUGGAGGAGUGACUGGGAUGGCUCCUCUCUGGUGGCAGAUCCCCAGUAAGUAGCGUUCCUUGCUUUCUUACAUUAGGGGCCCCUGUGACUGACUUGGUGGAAGCUGGUCUGUGUCCCCAGAAAAGUUAAUGCAAAACUCUUGAAGAGUUCAUGGGCAGGCCCUCUGUGGCCUCCCCGGCUGUGCAGCAUUCAACUCCAGGGGCGCUGCUCAUACAGAUGCAGUGAGAAGGGCGCCCCCUCAGGUGUCCUGCUUCAGAGCCCGUUCACCAGUCAUUCCAAGGCCCUGCUCUGGGCAUCUACAGAUCCUUGGUUAAAAUCCCUGAGCGCUGUCUUUCUGCUCUGGUCACAGGUUCCUGGGCUGGGAUGCAGUCAGGGUAGGGAUCCCCACUUCUCGUGUUAGGCUAUGCAGCCUCCACAUUUCUCUUGCUUCCUUUCUACCCACCUUGCUUUUUCCCUCUUACUGAAAACUCUUCCAGCCACCGUGCUUGCUCUCCCCUCAUUUUCCCUCACCGCCAAACACGCAGGUGGUGGUCAUUUUGCAUGGCUGAGAAUGUAGGACUUACUUUGAUACUUGAGUUUUCCUCCCUGUUGCUCGGAUGCUCCCAGUAUCUAGACAGGUGAAAUGCAGGCCAGGGCCACUAACAUGGCCGUGCGGGUGUAUCCAUGUGGGUGAGCUCCCCUGGGUUGAGCAGUGCACCCAUGAGGUGGAGGUGUUCUCAGUGCCCCUGGUGGGGUGGCUGUUCUCAAGGAAAGUUCUCUCUACCCUCAUUGAGCCCUGGAGACUGAUGUGCGCCUUGACACCACUCCAUUCUCACCUGACAGGCAUUCCCACUUACAGAUGACUCUGUGCUCUGAAAUCAGGCCACAUUUCUGCAAAGUAACAAUGCUUAGAAGGCAUUGUGGCUUGGUUGGGGAAAUUCCAUCACCUUGAGUCACAAGCAGCGUUGUGGCUGAGGAAAAGGCUUUCCAGAGCAUUCGGGAGACAGGCAGGGAGCAGCUUGGGCCUAGGAGAGGCAUAAGCAGCUGCUGGACCCUGUAGGCUCCAUGAAGCCCCCGGGAGAGCCAAACUUCUGUUCAUUUCCACCAGUGCCUCACUGGUGACCUUGAACCUAAUCUCGUGGCCUCUCAAGUCAUGCCAUCUCCACCUGUGCAGGAGAUCUAAUAAUAAAGCUAAGAACACUUUUUUUUAAUGUUUAUUUUGAGAGAGUGAGCGGGGGAGGGGCAGAGAGAGAAAGAGAAUCCGAAGCAGGCUUCAGGCUCAGAGCGGUCAGCACGGAGUCCGACGCGGGGCUCAAACCCACAAACUGUGAGAUCAUGCCCUAAGCCGAAGUCCGAGGCUUAACCGACUGAGCCACCUAGGUGCCCCUCUAAGAACACUUGUAAUCCCAUCGUGUUUUCAGGAGAAUGUGUUCAAGAGGGACUCAUGCCACUGCUGUGUGUGGUCACCAUGUUACUUGCCCCUGAGCACACAGCAGGUACUCAUUGUGGCUUCCUUCAUCCCCUGCAGAGGAACCUGUGUCCUCUGGCCUUUGCCCCUCUCCUAGCAGCUUUACCCUGGGGACUAGUAAUCGAAGUGGUAAUUUUGGGAGUGUGGAAGGAACACUGGGCUAGAGGGCUGGAUCUUGUUUCUGCCUUAUCUCCUCAUCAGGCGCCAGCUAGGGACUAAGAGGACCAAGAAGACUGUCCUUCCCGUUCCCUGACUGGAAAGCAUGAGACAGUUGCAAGACCGCACACAGCAGCCACUCCACCACUGCUCGUCUCCUCACGCUGCUAGUUUCUGCACCAAGGGUGGGAGGGCGAGCCUGCAGAUGUAGAAGACAUCCAAAUGAAGGGCAAAGCCUUAAUGUUAGGGAUGACCCUUGGGACUAAGGACAGUGGUUCCUUUCAGGGGAGGGGGAGGCUGUGGUUGGCAUGGGCACUGGACAGGCUUCUGGGAAAAUCAGUUUCUUAGGUGGUGUUACAAGGAAAUUUGCAUUUGUAUCCAUAUUGUUUUACGAUAUAUAUUUUUUCUAAGACUUUUUUUUUUAAGUAAUCCUACACUGAACAUGGUCAUCGAAUUCACAACCCCGAGAUCAAGAUUCGCAUGCUUUACCGACUGAGUCAGUUGGGUGCCCCUACAAUAAAGAAGUUUUUAAAA